CUAUUAGGCUCGACCUUUUAUAUUUAUUUCUCUCGCCGUUGAAAAUUGAAGAAGAAAGCAGAAUCAGUAUUUUUAUUUUCCGACGCCGGCGAACGCCCCCGCUCCUCAUUCUUUCGUCUCUCUCAAAAGCAAACCCUCUCCAACAUUCAUCAGUUGAGGCUAAUGGUGGUGGUUGGUGAGGCCUCUUUCAGGGCUCGUUUCAAUGCUCCAGACUCACAGAUCGCUGACUUAUUGGAAGGAGGAACUGAUUUGUUUAGAAAGCUACCGCCUGACAUCAUGAGAGAUAUCCUGAGCAGACUCCCGCUUGAAAACACUAUGAGGUGCAAAUGUGUUUGCAGAUCAUGGCACGAUCUAAUAGAAAGAGGUGUGUAUCCGAUGAAUGAUGAGCUUUAUGUGAAGAUUCAAGCCUGGCGCUUCAUAAUUAAUAAAAUGGAAACGGAGAUUUUUGAAAGACGAAAGUACGAUAGCCUUGUGGCCAGAGGAUCGACUAUUGUUGUCAUUGCUAUUGCAGUCGGGUGCUUCAUCUUUGGCACAAGGAAGCACUGUGUGUAAGUUUUAGGUGGUGUUUUUUUGUAUGAAGCUUUAAGAAUGAAAUAUUGCUUCAUUUUAGAAAAAUAUUGCACUUUACUCACCAUUGUAAGAGUAUGUUUUUUUGUUUCAUGUUGUUUUUGGUGGAUCA
This is a long non-coding RNA of Salvia splendens (bonfire salvia), 679 nucleotides long. RefSeq lists it as uncharacterized. The transcript has 3 exons. Lineage: Eukaryota; Viridiplantae; Streptophyta; Magnoliopsida; Lamiales; Lamiaceae. The record is from RefSeq and is a predicted model, not a curated record.